This 446-nucleotide ribosomal RNA is filed under the name uncultured bacterium. RNAcentral describes it as "bacterial SSU rRNA". It matches the Rfam family "Bacterial small subunit ribosomal RNA", at positions 355 to 825 of the family's 1533-position model. The record is from RNAcentral.
UGGGGAAUAUUGGACAAUGGGCGCAAGCCUGAUCCAGCCAUGCCGCGUGAGUGACGAAGGUCUUCGGAUUGUAAAGCUCUUUUGGCGGGGACGAUAAUGACGGUACCCGCAGAAUAAGCCCCGGCUAACUUCGUGCCAGCAGCCGCGGUAAUACGAAGGGGGCUAGCGUUGUUCGGAAUCACUGGGCGUAAAGCGCACGUAGGCGGAUGUGCCAGUCAGGGGUGAAAUCCCGGAGCUCAACUUCGGAACUGCCUCUGAUACAGCACGUCUUGAGUCCGAUAGAGGUGGGUGGAAUUCCUAGUGUAGAGGUGAAAUUCGUAGAUAUUAGGAAGAACACCGGUGGCGAAGGCGGCCCAUGGAUCGGUACUGACGCUGAGGUGCGAAAGCGUGGGGAGCAAACAGGAUUAGAUACCCUAGUAGUCCCUGAGCGGGCUGGCAAGGCGCAU